AAGUGGUAAUCAUGAGGGAAUCUUUUGGCUGUCGGUAGGUGGCUAAAAUGGAUUGUCCUCCAGCCACCAGGUGACGCGAGUGUCUUCGUGAGGACGAAAUAUUUCGCAUUUGUUUCCGAGACGCUGACUGAAAGUGUAAUUCAAUUUCAUUAAGGAAUUGCGGUGUCGAUCUAAAUUUUCAGCCAUGAAAUGGCAAUCUGGCGUUAUAAUUUUACUUGGCCAAAUAAUGUGACGACGUGGGUGGAAACUGCUGUCCAAUGGUCCAAUGUCGGCCAUUGUUAACCUAUACGGCUGUCGGCUGCACGUCUUAUCUCGUGCUGAAACACUUCGGACUUUCGGAGCUAGUAAAGUAAUGUUGUUGAUUUUCCUGCAAUAAUGCAAUAGGUUUUAUUGGUUAAGUUUCAGAUUGGAGAAGGAGAUCCCUUUGCUCAACUAUUGCAGAACUUGUGAACACGACAAAGUCUGAGCUUCUUGGCUGUUCAUCAACAUGGUUUUGUUGCAGUCAGCUGGUGAAAGAUGUGAUCAAGUCAAGUUGAGCUGCAGGUGCUGCAUGCAGUUUAUCAAACUGGUGUUAUCCCAAGUGUCACUCCAGAAGACUUCUGGAAUUGGAGUUCAUGGUCAGUGUGAUGUUUGAGCUGUUUAUGGCGUUGCUGUUUGGUGUACAGUGGUUUUGCAGUCCUUUUCCAGUCGAGAGAUGCUCUGAAAUGGAGUUUGUGUAGACUUGCAGUUCAACAACACACUAAAAAUGUGUCAUUUGCCUAUGUUGGUGUCCAUGCAUAUGCUGUGUUGAAAAGUUGGGUUAAAUAGUCAAUGUUGCCUGAUGGCUGUCGGUCUUGUUUUAUCGGCUGCAUUUUGUCGAUAUGUCGUCUCUUGCUACCUGUACCGGCGUUGAGUUAAUGUUUGAUGUUUCGUCAGUUAUUGUCUUUUAAUUAAGAUCUGUAUUCUUUUUUU
Molecule: long non-coding RNA, 951 nt
Organism: Daphnia pulex (common water flea)
Lineage: Eukaryota; Metazoa; Arthropoda; Branchiopoda; Diplostraca; Daphniidae
Exons: 3
Source: RefSeq, a predicted model, not a curated record